Molecule: unclassified non-coding RNA, 323 nt
Filed under: Zanthoxylum pinnatum
Lineage: Eukaryota; Viridiplantae; Streptophyta; Magnoliopsida; Sapindales; Rutaceae
Description: partial external transcribed spacer
Source: RNAcentral
GGUAUCCUGUGUUGCUUACCCGCGGAAAGGAAUUCGACGGUUAUGGUUUCCCCAUUCGCCUUGCGCCCUUCGAGGUGCGGGGUGGACCCGAGGCGGGCUCCGUGUUCCCCGCGUGCCGAGUGCGUUGACGCUCGGUCGCUGUGGCCCAUGGGGCUCGGCCCGUGCUCUCGGAUGCGGAAUGCUGUGUGCGGGCGUGGGGUCUCGGCCUCUGUUCGUCCCGGCUGCACGCAUUGUCCCUUGACGUGAACGACCGUCGCGCCCGUCUUGAUCGGCCGACCGAGCCCCCGUCGCGGGGUUCCGGGAGGGCGGCUCAUGCGGGUGUC